Molecule: transfer RNA, 78 nt
Filed under: mine drainage metagenome
Description: tRNA-Thr
Source: RNAcentral
CACGUUCUCGCGCAUGGUGCCGUAGCGCACGGCGUUGGUGCCGCUGGCGCGGGUGGCGGUCAUGCCGCCGAGCGUGGC